AUUGAACGCUGGCGGCAGGCCUAACACAUGCAAGUCGAACGUGUGGCGGACGGGUGAGUAACGUCUGGGAAACUGCCUGAUGGAGGGGGAUAACUACUGGAAACGGUAGCUAAUACCGCAUACCAUCGGAUGUGCCCAGAUCGGAUAAGCUAGCAGGUGGGGUAAAGGCUCACCUAGGCGACGAUCCCUAGCUGGUCUGAGAGGAUGACCAGCCCCCCUGGAACGGAGACACGGUCCAGACUCCUACGUGAUGCAGCAGUGGGGAAUAUUGCACAGGUGGCGCAAGCCUGAUGCAGCCAUGCCGCGUGUAUGAAGAAGGCCUUAGGGUUGUAAAGUACUUUCAGCGAGGAGGCGUUACCCGCAGAAGAAGCACCGGCUAACUCCGUGGCAGCAGCCGCGGUAAUAC
This 406-nucleotide ribosomal RNA is filed under the name uncultured bacterium. Its description in RNAcentral is "partial 16S ribosomal RNA". It matches the Rfam family "Bacterial small subunit ribosomal RNA", at positions 30 to 526 of the family's 1533-position model. The record is from RNAcentral.